GCCUUUAUAGUAUAAACCAUUACUCUGGUCUUGUAAACCAGCAAUGAGAGAACCGCUCUCUAAAGGCA
Molecule: transfer RNA, 68 nt
Filed under: Stylodipus telum (thick-tailed three-toed jerboa)
Lineage: Eukaryota; Metazoa; Chordata; Mammalia; Rodentia; Dipodidae
Description: tRNA-Thr
Source: RNAcentral